Molecule: ribosomal RNA, 392 nt
Filed under: uncultured bacterium
Lineage: Bacteria
Description: partial 16S ribosomal RNA
Rfam family: Bacterial small subunit ribosomal RNA
Source: RNAcentral
AUACGUAUGUCGCAAGCGUUAUCCGGAUUUAUUGGGCGUAAAGCGCGUCUAGGCGGCUUAGUAAGUCUGAUGUGAAAAUGCGGGGCUCAACCCCGUAUUGCGUUGGAAACUGCUAAACUAGAGUACUGGAGAGGUAGGCGGAACUACAAGUGUAGAGGUGAAAUUCGUAGAUAUUUGUAGGAAUGCCGAUGGGGAAGCCAGCCUACUGGACAGAUACUGACGCUAAAGCGCGAAAGCGUGGGAAGCAAACAGGAUUAGAUACCCUGGUAGUCCACGCCGUAAACGAUGAUUACUAGGUGUUGGGGGUCGAACCUCAGCGCCCAAGCUAACGCGAUAAGUAAUCCGCCUGGGGAGUCCGUACGCAAGUAUGAAACUCAAAGGAAUUGACGGGG